UGGGGAAUUUUGGACAAUGGGCGAAGGCCUGAUCCAGCAAUGCCGCGUGUGUGAAGAAGGCCUUCGGGUUGUAAAGCACUUUUGUCCGGAAAGAAAUCCUUGGCUCUAAUACAGUCGGGGGAUGACGGUACCGGAAGAAUAAGCACCGGCUAACUACGUGCCAGCAGCCGCGGUAAUACGUAGGGUGCAAGCGUUAAUCGGAAUUACUGGGCGUAAAGCGUGCGCAGGCGGUUUGCUAAGACCGAUGUGAAAUCCCCGGGCUCAACCUGGGAACUGCAUUGGUGACUGGCAGGCUAGAGUAUGGCAGAGGGGGGUAGAAUUCCACGUGUAGCAGUGAAAUGCGUAGAGAUGUGGAGGAAUACCGAUGGCGAAGGCAGCCCCCUGGGCCAAAUACUGACGCUCAUGCACGAAAGCGUGGGGAGCAAACAGGAUUAGAUACCCUGGUGGUCCACGCCCUAAACGAUGUCAACUAGUUGUUGGGGAUUCAUUCCUUAGUAACGUAGCUAACGCGUGAAGUUGACCGCCUGGGGAGUACGGUCGCAAGAUUAAAACUCAAAUGAAUUGACGGGGUCAUAGCU
This 578-nucleotide ribosomal RNA is filed under the name uncultured bacterium. Its description in RNAcentral is "partial 16S ribosomal RNA". It matches the Rfam family "Bacterial small subunit ribosomal RNA", at positions 355 to 926 of the family's 1533-position model. The record is from RNAcentral.